GAUGAACGCUGGCGGCGUGCCUAAUACAUGCAAGUCGAGCGAACAGACGAGGAGCUUGCUCCUCUGACGUUAGCGGCGGACGGGUGAGUAACACGUGGAUAACCUACCUAUAAGACUGGGAUAACUUCGGGAAACCGGAGCUAAUACCGGAUAAUAUAUUGAACCGCAUGGUUCAAUAGUGAAAGAAGGUUUUGCUGUCACUUAUAGAUGGAUCCGCGCCGCAUUAGCUAGUUGGUAAGGUAACGGCUUACCAAGGCAACGAUGCGUAGCCGACCUGAGAGGGUGAUCGGCCACACUGGAACUGAGACACGGUCCAGACUCCUACGGGAGGCAGCAGUAGGGAAUCUUCCGCAAUGGGCGAAAGCCUGACGGAGCAACGCCGCGUGAGUGAUGAAGGUCUUCGGAUCGUAAAACUCUGUUAUUAGGGAAGAACAAAUGUGUAAGUAACUAUGCACGUCUUGACGGUACCUAAUCGGAAAGCCACGGCUAACUACGUG
Molecule: ribosomal RNA, 497 nt
Filed under: uncultured bacterium
Lineage: Bacteria
Description: partial 16S ribosomal RNA
Rfam family: Bacterial small subunit ribosomal RNA
Source: RNAcentral